Molecule: ribosomal RNA, 168 nt
Filed under: uncultured eukaryote
Lineage: Eukaryota
Description: partial small subunit ribosomal RNA
Source: RNAcentral
GUACACACCGCCCGUCGCUCCUACCGAUUUCGAGUGGUCCGGUGAAUAAUUCGGACCGCAGCAUCGUUCAGCUCCUGAACUUUGCCGUGGAAAGUUUAGUGRACCUUAACACUUAGAGGAAGGAGAAGUCGUAACAAGGUUUCCGUAGGUGAACCUGCAGAAGGAUCA